This 140-nucleotide ribosomal RNA is filed under the name uncultured eukaryote. RNAcentral describes it as "partial 18S ribosomal RNA". It matches the Rfam family "Eukaryotic small subunit ribosomal RNA", at positions 1299 to 1458 of the family's 1831-position model. The record is from RNAcentral.
UGGUGGAGUGAUUUGUCUAGUUAAUUCCGUUAACGAACGAGACCUUAGCCGCCUGAAUACUUACACGUAACAUCGGUUACGUGGGAAACUCCUCAGAAAGACUUUGCGUUUCUAACGCAAGGAUGUUUGAGGCAAUAACA